GCAAGGUUAAAACUCAAAUGAAUUGACGGGGGCCCGCACAAGCGGUGGAGCAUGUGGUUUAAUUCGAUGCAACGCGAAGAACCUUACCUGGUCUUGACAUCCACAGAACUUUCCAGAGAUGGAUUGGUGCCUUCGGGAACUGUGAGACAGGUGCUGCAUGGCUGUCGUCAGCUCGUGUUGUGAAAUGUUGGGUUAAGUCCCGCAACGAGCGCAACCCUUAUCCUUUGUUGCCAGCGGUUCGGCCGGGAACUCAAAGGAGACUGCCAGUGAUAAACUGGAGGAAGGUGGGGAUGACGUCAAGUCAUCAUGGCCCUUACGACCAGGGCUACACACGUGCUACAAUGGCAUAUA
Molecule: ribosomal RNA, 351 nt
Filed under: Klebsiella pneumoniae
Lineage: Bacteria; Pseudomonadati; Pseudomonadota; Gammaproteobacteria; Enterobacterales; Enterobacteriaceae
Also listed under: 1 other name
Description: bacterial SSU rRNA
Rfam family: Bacterial small subunit ribosomal RNA
Source: RNAcentral